RNAcentral lists this transfer RNA (69 nucleotides) under Capra hircus (goat). It matches the Rfam family "tRNA". From Rfam's summary of the family: Transfer RNA (tRNA) molecules are approximately 80 nucleotides in length. Their secondary structure includes four short double-helical elements and three loops (D, anti-codon, and T loops). Lineage: Eukaryota; Metazoa; Chordata; Mammalia; Artiodactyla; Bovidae. RNAcentral also lists the same sequence under 1 other name. The record is from Rfam by way of RNAcentral.
UCCCUGGCUCAGAGGGUAAAGCGUCUGCCUGCAAUGCAGGAAACCUGGGUUCGAUUCCUGGGUCAGGAA